UCGUAGGUGGCCAACUAAGUCAAACGUGAAAUCCCUCGGCUUAACCGGGGAACUGCGUCUGAUACUGGAUGGCUAGAGAUUGGGAGAGGGAUGCGGAAUUCCAGGUGUAGCGGUGAAAUGCGUAGAUAUCUGGAGGAACACCGGUGGCGAAGGCGGCAUCCUGGACCAACACUGACGCUGAGGAGCGAAAGCCAGGGGAGCAAACGGGAUUAGAUACCCCGGUAGUCCUGGCCCUAAACGAUGAAUGCUUGGUGUGGCGGGUAUCGAUCCCUGCUGUGCCGAAGCUAACGCAUUAAGCAUUCCGCCUGGGGAGUACGGUCGCAAGGCUGAA
This 331-nucleotide ribosomal RNA is filed under the name uncultured bacterium. RNAcentral's name for it is "bacterial SSU rRNA". It matches the Rfam family "Bacterial small subunit ribosomal RNA", at positions 569 to 898 of the family's 1533-position model. The record is from RNAcentral.